AAUAUCUAAAAGGUGUAUGCUAUAGUUACUUUUCUGAUCCAAGACUAAUUUCAAGCCUAUAGUCUCUGAACCUUAGACCAAAAAAUAACUUUGGUGUAUACUAUUUAAAUGUCCAGAUAAGAAAAUGAGCAAAUUAUGUUACUUCAGUUUACAGAAAACCAAUGAGUGACACAAGUAUCAUACCAAAGUGGUUGAAUGACCUGAUUAAAUAUAAAAAAGCAACCUUUAGGAUAUAUUUUAAGAGGCUGUUGACACAUUGCUUGAUAGAUGAAGAAAAGAGAGAGAGAAGGAAUUUAUCUUCAAAGAAUGUAGAAGGCAUGGUAUAUAAUAAUUUUAUCCAGAAGAUUUGUGAUACAGGUGAUUCAAAAUAUAAAUGGGACAAUAACAGACAUGUCAUGUAAUGUAUGACUAUUCUCU
RNAcentral lists this long non-coding RNA (417 nucleotides) under Androctonus crassicauda. The record is from RNAcentral. Lineage: Eukaryota; Metazoa; Arthropoda; Arachnida; Scorpiones; Buthidae.